This 65-nucleotide transfer RNA is filed under the name Dipodomys ordii (Ord's kangaroo rat). It matches the Rfam family "tRNA". From Rfam's summary of the family: Transfer RNA (tRNA) molecules are approximately 80 nucleotides in length. Their secondary structure includes four short double-helical elements and three loops (D, anti-codon, and T loops). The record is from Rfam by way of RNAcentral. Lineage: Eukaryota; Metazoa; Chordata; Mammalia; Rodentia; Heteromyidae.
GGUGGCUCAGUGGUAGAGCACGUGCCUUACGUGCAUGAGGCCCUGAGUUCAAUUCCUCGGCACCA